CCUUCGAUAGCUCAGUUGGUAGAGCGGUGGACUGUAGAAAAGGUUCGGAGGAGGUUCGAUGCACCACACAACAUGCAUGAACGAUCACUUUCCAAACAGUAGAGUAGUAAUCCAUAGGUCACUGGUUCAAAUCCGGUUCGAAGGA
Non-coding RNA from Anopheles funestus (African malaria mosquito), 145 nucleotides. The record is from Rfam. NCBI's taxonomy places the organism in Eukaryota, Metazoa, Arthropoda, Insecta, Diptera, Culicidae.